GCUCUGAAUGCCAUAACUAAGAAAGGAUGUUGGCUCUGAACGCCAAACUGAGAAGAGAUGGUGGCUCUGAAUGCCAUAACUGAGAAGAGAUGGUGGCUCUAAAUGCCAUAACUAAGAAAAGAUGUUGUCUCUAAACACCAAACUAAAAAGAGAUGGUGGUUCUGAAUGCCAAAAUUGAGAAGAGUUGGUGGCUCUAAAUGCUAAAACUAAUAAGAGAUGGUGG
Molecule: long non-coding RNA, 223 nt
Filed under: Vitis vinifera (wine grape)
Lineage: Eukaryota; Viridiplantae; Streptophyta; Magnoliopsida; Vitales; Vitaceae
Description: long non-coding RNA (VVIN_LNC004672)
Source: RNAcentral